UGGGGAAUAUUGCACAAUGGGCGCAAGCCUGAUGCAGCCAUGCCGCGUGUAUGAAGAAGGCCUUCGGGUUGUAAAGUACUUUCAGCGGGGAGGAAGGGAGUAAAAUUAAUACCUUUGCUCAUUGACGUUACCCGCAGAAGAAGCACCGGCUAACUCCGUGCCAGCAGCCGCGGUAAUACGGAGGGUGCAAGCGUUAAUCGGAAUUACUGGGCGUAAAGCGCACGCAGGCGGUUUGUUAAGUCAGAUGUGAAAUCCCCGGGCUCAACCUGGGAACUGCAUCUGAUACUGGCAAGCUUGAGUCUCGUAGAGGGGGGUAGAAUUCCAGGUGUAGCGGUGAAAUGCGUAGAGAUCUGGAGGAAUACCGGUGGCGAAGGCGGCCCCCUGGACGAAGACUGACGCUCAGGUGCGAAAGCGUGGGGAGCAAACA
RNAcentral lists this ribosomal RNA (427 nucleotides) under uncultured bacterium. RNAcentral's name for it is "partial 16S ribosomal RNA". It matches the Rfam family "Bacterial small subunit ribosomal RNA", at positions 355 to 774 of the family's 1533-position model. The record is from RNAcentral.